AGGUCUUGCCUGCCCAGUGACAAGUUAAACGGCCGCGGUAUUUUGACCGUGCGAAGGUAGCGCAAUCACUUGUCUUUUAAAUGAAGACCUGUAUGAAUGGCGGAACGAGGGCUUAACUGUCUCCCCUUUCAAGUCAAUGAAAUUGAUCUGCCCGUGCAGAAGCGGGCAUGAGAAUACAAGACGAGAAGACCCUUUGGAGCUUAAGAUACAAGACCAACUACGUCAAGGGCACACAAUAUUAAACCAAACUAAGUAGUACCUGGUCAAUAUCUUCGGUUGGGGCGACCACGGGAGAAAACAAAGCUCCCAUGCGGAUUGGGAUUACACCCCUAACACCAAGAAAGACAUUUCUAAGUCACAGAAUAUCUGACCACAAAGAUCCGGCUUUUCGCCGAUCAACGGACCAAGUUACCCUAGGGAUAACAGCGCAAUCCCCUUUCAGAGUCCAUAUCGACAAGGGGGUUUACGACCUCGAUGUUGGAUCAGGACAUCCUAAUGGUGCAGCCNNUNUUAAGGGUUCGUUUGUUCAACGAUUAAAGUCCUACGUG
This 548-nucleotide ribosomal RNA is filed under the name Centrodoras brachiatus. Its description in RNAcentral is "partial large subunit ribosomal RNA". It matches the Rfam family "Bacterial large subunit ribosomal RNA", at positions 1850 to 2602 of the family's 2925-position model. Lineage: Eukaryota; Metazoa; Chordata; Actinopteri; Siluriformes; Doradidae. The record is from RNAcentral.